RNAcentral lists this long non-coding RNA (2946 nucleotides) under Homo sapiens (human). RNAcentral describes it as "non-protein coding lnc-RPEL1-1:1". Lineage: Eukaryota; Metazoa; Chordata; Mammalia; Primates; Hominidae. The record is from RNAcentral.
CCGCCCCCGCCGCCCGGCACCGCCCCGCGCCGCCCCUCUGCUCGCGCCCGGCCAGGGACCGGCGCGCUGUUCCGUCCCCCAGCUCCGCCGCAGAGUUCGGCGAAGCCGACGCUCCCUGACCGCGCUGCGUCUGUCUGUCCCGCGGGUCUGGAGAUCUUCAAACGAUGGAACACCGGCUUUGCCCUUCUGAGGGUCUCCAUCCCUUGGCAUUCUGCCUGCGCCCCUCAGCCUGGCCCUGGGCUAACCUCUCCACUGUGUCUCAUUCAGAAGAAGCUUUUCCUUGGGAGGAGAGGGCAUCCUUUUUCCCAGUCACAGAAUGUUUUGGUCUAAUGGACCUCAAGGCCCCUCAUGCGUCCACACCCCCAUGGCACCCUCGAAUCCCCUUGAUGGCUAAAAACACCAGCUUUGAAGUUUGUCAGAACGAGUUCCAGUCCCAGUACCACCACUUACAAACUGUAACCUCGGGCGAGGUACCUGACCUCCUAUACCUGGUGCCCACAUUUGUAGCACCAGGAUAGGGAACAACAGUCCCCACAUCAAAGGGUGUUGACGGGAUGAAAUCACACAAUAUAGGUGAGGCCCUCAGCAGGAUCCUGGCACACAGUAAGCACUCAAUAAAUGUUCACCCCACCACCAGCAACUCAGCAGGAAGACUCCGCAAAAGCAGCUAGCUAUUUCCAGAGGACUGAAUUCCUUGGUCCGAGCAGCUCUCACCAGUGAGAAAAUGUGUCUAAACUUCCACUCUCAGGGCCGAAAUUCGAUGCCUUGGAGCCACAGAGAACAAACGUCUAAUCUCUCCUGGACCUUUGACUUUUCAGAUACUUUACUUCUAUCACCUCUGCCCAAGGUCUUCUCAUUCCACAUCAGUGUCUCCCGUUCCUUCCAUUGUUCCUCCUCUGCCCUGGUUUUGAGGGUCUUUAUCCCUCUCACGCAAAUGGUAGAUUUGACUGUGAUUUCUUUAGAAUACAUCACCCAAGACUGAACCAAAUGUUUGUGGUAUCAUCAGAGCAAAGCAGGACUAUAGCUUCCUCCUUUUGGGACCUAUCGCUUUGCACUCCUGCGAUAAAGUUCUUGGCACCCAUACUGUUGACUCAUAUUGGGCUUGCAGUCAACCAAAACCUCCGCGUCUUUUUAAUAAGUGCUCCGCCAGAGCACUUCUACCCCUUCUUGUGCUUCUCAGCCAACUUCGCUUCAGGUCAGCUAAGGAUAGACCUUGGGCCCCUCACCUUCUAAAUUUCUCAGGAUAUAUGGAAAAGAGGAAUAGGGGUUGGAAGCUGGCAUAACACAAUCUUUAAACCAAGUGCAUUUGAAAAAAGGCCAGGGUGGCGGGGCGUGGUAGCUCACACCUGUAAUCCCAUCACUUUGGGAAGCCAAGGCAGGUGGAUCAUUUGAGGUCAGGAGUUCAAGACCAGCCUGACCAACAUGGCGAAACCCCAUCUCUACUAAAAAUACAAAAAUUAGCUGGGCAUGGUGGCACGCACCUGUAGUCCCAGCUACUCGGGAGGCUGAGGCAGGAGAAUCGCUUGAACCCGGAAGGCGGAGGUUGCAGUGAGCCAAGAUCACGCCACUGAACUCCAGCCUGGGCGACAGAGGGAGACUCCAUCUCCAAAAAAAAAAAAAAAGAAGAAACGAAAAAAGGCCAGGGUUUGUGUCUAAACACUAUGGUACUGAGAGAAAAACAAAUAUAGAGACACACACAAAUGAAUGUGAUCACAACUGUGAAAAAAAACUGCACACGCAAAAGACUACAGGGAAAUAUGUAAUUGAUUAUGUUGUUUUCUCUCAGUGAUAAGAUGGGGUGGUUUCUUCUUUGUACUUUUGUAUUAAUUUCUUACGGUGUUUGUAUUACUUUUAUAAUCAAGAACUUUGUUUUAAAAAAUAAAUCAGAAAAAAGAAUUUAAAAAAUCAGAGAGAUGGAAUAACUUGAAAAAAACUGAAAACAAAGUUAAAAGAUAACAGAAUAAGGGGAAAACUAUUCGCAAUACACAAAAGACAAAGGAUUUGUCUAUAAAGGACUCUUAACAAAUCAAUAAUAAAAAGAAUGAGGCCGGGCGCGGUGGCUCACGCCUGUAAUCCCAGCCCUUUGGGAGGCCGAGGCGGGCAGAUCACGAGGUCAGGAGAUUGAGACCAUCCUGGCUAACGUGGUGAAACCCUGUCUCUACUAAAAACACAAAAAAUUAGCUGGACGUGGUGGCAGGCGCCUAUAGUCCCAGCUACUCAGGAGGCUGAGGCAGGAGAAUGGCGUGAACCCGGGAGGCGGAGCUUGCAGUGAGCCGAGAUCCCGCCACUGCACUCCAGCCUGGGCGACAGAGCGAGACUCCGUCUCAAAAAAAAAAAAAAAAAAAAAAAAAAAGAAUUGAUAUGUAAUCUCAGCACUUUGGGAGGCCAAGGCUGGCAUAUCAUGAGGUCAGGAGUUCAAGACCAGUCUGACCAAUAUGGUGAAACCUUGUCUCUACUAAAAAUACAAAAAUUAGCCAGGUGUGGUGGCGCACACCUGUAAUCUCAGCUACUCAGGAGGCUGAGGCAGGAGAAUCGCCUGAACCCAGGAGGCAGAGGUUGCAGUGAGCCGAGAUUGCACCACUGCAUUCCAGCCUGGGUGACAGAGUGAAACUUUGUCUUUAAAAAAAAAAAAAGAGAGAGAGAAAGAAAAUUUAGAAUCAGCUAAAUGCCCACCAAUGGGGGGUGGCUAACUAAAAUGUAGAAUAUUUAUAUAAUAAAAUUCUAUAGAGAAUUUAAAUGAAGCAUGGGCAACAUAGUGAGACCUCAUUUCUACAAACAGUUUUUAAAAAUCAGCCGGGCGUGGUGGCUCCAGCAUGUAGUUGCAACUGCUACUCAGGAGGCUGAGGUGGGAGGAUCACUUGAGCCCAGGAGGUCAAGGCCGCAGUAAGCUGUGAUCGUGCCACUGCACUCAAGCCUGGGUGACAGAGAAAGACCCUGUCUCCAAAA